Molecule: ribosomal RNA, 845 nt
Filed under: marine metagenome
Description: bacterial SSU rRNA
Rfam family: Bacterial small subunit ribosomal RNA
Source: RNAcentral
GAAUUUCUAGUGUAGAGGUGAAAUUCGUAGAUAUUAGAAAGAAUACCAAUUGCGAAGGCAGCUUUCUGGAUCAUUACUGACACUGAGGAACGAAAGCAUGGGUAGCGAAGAGGAUUAGAUACCCUCGUAGUCCAUGCCGUAAACGAUGUGUGUUAGACGUUGGAAAUUUAUUUUCAGUGUCGCAGCGAAAGCGAUAAACACACCGCCUGGGGAGUACGACCGCAAGGUUAAAACUCAAAUGAAUUGACGGGGACCCGCACAAGUAGUGGAGCAUGUGGUUUAAUUCGAAGAUACGCGCAGAACCUUACCAACACUUGACAUGUUCGUCGCGACUUUAAGAGAUUAAAGUUUUCGGUUCGGCCGGACGAAACACAGGUGCUGCAUGGCUGUCGUCAGCUCGUGUCGUGAGAUGUUGGGUUAAGUCCCGCAACGAGCGCAACCCUCACUUUUAGUUGCCAUCAUUUAGUUGGGCACUCUGAAAGAACUGCCAGUGAUAAGCUGGAGGAAGGUGGGGAUGACGUCAAGUCCUCAUGGCCCUUACGUGUUGGGCUACACACGUGCUACAAUGGUAUCUACAACAGGAAGCAAAACAGCGAUGUUAAGCAAAUCCUUAAAAGAUACCUCAGUUCGGAUUGCACUCUGCAACUCGAGUGCAUGAAGCUGGAAUUACUAGUAAUCGUGGAUCAGCGUGCCACGGUGAAUGCGUUCCCGGGUCUUGUACACACCGCCCGUCACACCAUGGGAGUUGGUUCUACCUUAAGGCAAGGUUUAAUACCCUUGACCACGGUAUAGUCAGCGACUGGGGUGAAGUCGUAACAAGGUAGCCGUAGGGGAACCUGCGGCUG